UGGGGAAUAUUGGACAAUGGGGGAAACCCUGAUCCAGCAAUGCCGCGUGAGUGAUGAAGGCCUUCGGGUUGUAAAGCUCUUUCGCCCACGACGAUGGUGACGGUAGUGGGAGAAGAAGCCCCGGCUAACUUCGUGCCAGCAGCCGCGGUAAUACGAAGGGGGCGAGCGUUGUUCGGAGUUACUGGGCGUAAAGGGCGCGUAGGCGGCCCUCCAAGUCGGGUGUGAAAGCCCACGGCUCAACCGUGGAAUUGCACUCGAGACUGGGGAGCUUGAGGAUGGGAGAGGAUGGUGGAAUUCCCAGUGUAGAGGUGAAAUUCGUAGAUAUUGGGAAGAACACCGGUGGCGAAGGCGGCCAUCUGGACCAUUUCUGACGCUGAGGCGCGGAAGCGUGGGGAGCAAAC
RNAcentral lists this ribosomal RNA (401 nucleotides) under uncultured bacterium. RNAcentral's name for it is "bacterial SSU rRNA". It matches the Rfam family "Bacterial small subunit ribosomal RNA", at positions 355 to 773 of the family's 1533-position model. The record is from RNAcentral.